UACGUAGGGUCCGAGCGUUGUCCGGAUUUAUUGGGCGUAAAGAGCGUGUAGGCGGCUAGAUAGGUCCGUUGUGAAAACUCGAGCUCAACCUCGAGACGCCGGUGGAAACCAUCUAGCUAGAGUCCGGAAGAGGAGAGUGGAAUUCCUGGUGUAGCGGUGAAAUGCGCAGAUAUCAGGAAGAACACCCGUGGCGAAGGCGGCUCUCUGGUACGUGACUGACGCUGAGACGCGACAGCGUGGGGGAGCAAACAGG
Molecule: ribosomal RNA, 253 nt
Filed under: uncultured bacterium
Lineage: Bacteria
Description: partial 16S ribosomal RNA
Rfam family: Bacterial small subunit ribosomal RNA
Source: RNAcentral